Molecule: unclassified non-coding RNA, 422 nt
Filed under: fungal sp.
Lineage: Eukaryota; Fungi
Description: partial internal transcribed spacer region
Rfam family: Eukaryotic small subunit ribosomal RNA (bases 1-46)
Source: RNAcentral
AAGUCGUAACAAGGUUUCCGUAGGUGAACCUGCGGAAGGAUCAUUAAUACGUUUGAAAAAAACGUUUUAAACUCCAAAAUUUUAAUAGUGGAAAAUAUAACUUCCGGAUGCAUUUGUAGGAGGGGAGAUCAGACCUUAAAUAGUCUGUUUUUCUCUUUUGAAAAGGAGACUUCAUGCACUUUAUUGUGUGUGACACUUCAGAGUAGAGCAGUGAGGUGAAAAUUCAGUAAUGAGUUUUGGUUCUGAAAUACAUCUGUAUCCGGUUAUUCUCUGUUCUACAACUUUAAAUUAUCAAACAAUAAACCCCAUGUACAACAACUUGAACUAAACAAUUUUGUUUUCUAUAACACUCUUCGGAGGUGAGAAGAUGAAGUAAAAUCUGAACUUAAGAACAACUCUUAACAACGGAUAUCUUGGUUCUC